AGUGAGCUAAAUGGAGACUGGGAGUUUGACUCACCAGGGUCAAUCCAUCAGAUCCUAAAAGUGAAAUUAUUCCUCUGAAUCAACUAUAGCUUUAUAUCGACCAGCUGACAGAAUACAUGAAAUGGAGACCUGGAGGGAAGAACAAACUGCCAAUAAGAGAGAGAGAGAGAGACAAAAUGAGUUUCAGCCUGUUCCAUGAUCCAGCUUCAAGUCGAAGGCCAGAGCAGACAACAUUUGGGGGAAAUCUGUUUAGGUUAAGGCGCUUCCUUUUUGCCAUUCCAAAAAUAAACGUGAGUUUCCUUGCCAAAGAUCAACAGGAUUACAUCAACUGCCUUAGGAGAGAAUUGAGAAAAGCUUUUGAGCAGUGAAAAAUUUUAAGGAA
Molecule: long non-coding RNA, 382 nt
Filed under: Parus major (Great Tit)
Lineage: Eukaryota; Metazoa; Chordata; Aves; Passeriformes; Paridae
Description: lncRNA (ENSPMJG00000009425.1)
Source: RNAcentral